GCAGCUCAGUGGUAGAGAAACUGCUUGGUAUGCAGAACAUCCCAGGUUCAAUUCCUGGCAUAUCCA
Molecule: transfer RNA, 66 nt
Filed under: Sphaerodactylus townsendi
Lineage: Eukaryota; Metazoa; Chordata; Lepidosauria; Squamata; Sphaerodactylidae
Description: tRNA-Thr
Rfam family: tRNA
About the family: Transfer RNA (tRNA) molecules are approximately 80 nucleotides in length. Their secondary structure includes four short double-helical elements and three loops (D, anti-codon, and T loops).
Source: RNAcentral